CCCUUCGGGGACAAAGUGACAGGUGGUGCAUGGUUGUCGUCAGCUCGUGUCGUGAGAUGUUGGGUUAAGUCCCGCAACGAGCGCAACCCUUGAUUUUAGUUGCCAGCAUUUAGUUGGGCACUCUAAAGUGACUGCCGGUGCAAGCCGGAGGAAGGUGGGGAUGACGUCAAAUCAUCAUGCCCCUUAUGACCUGGGCUACACACGUGCUACAAUGGAUAGUACAAAGGGUCGCGAAGCCGCGAGGUGGAGCUAAUCCCAUAAAACUAUUCUCAGUUCGGAUUGUAGGCUGCAACUCGCCUACAUGAAGCCGGAAUCGCUAGUAAUCGUGGAUCAGCAUGCCACGGUGAAUACGUUCCCGGGCCUUGUACACACCGCCCGUCACACCACGAGAGUUUGUAACACCCGAAGUCGGUAGGGUAACCUUUAUGGAGCCAGCCGCCGAAGGUGGGACAGAUAAUUGGGGUGAAGUCGU
Molecule: ribosomal RNA, 472 nt
Filed under: Listeria monocytogenes
Lineage: Bacteria; Bacillati; Bacillota; Bacilli; Caryophanales; Listeriaceae
Description: bacterial SSU rRNA
Rfam family: Bacterial small subunit ribosomal RNA
Source: RNAcentral